GACGAACGCUGGCGGCGUGCUUAACACAUGCAAGUCGAACGGUGAAGCUCCAGCUUGCUGGAGUGGAUCAGUGGCGAACGGGUGAGUAACACGUGAGCAACCUGCCCCUGACUCUGGAAUAAGCGCUGGAAACGGCGUCUAAUACUGGAUACGAGAAGGGUCCGCAUGGGCACUUUCUGGAAAGUUUUUCGGUUGGGGAUGGGCUCGCGGCCUAUCAGCUUGUUGGUGAGGUAAUGGCUCACCAAGGCGACGACGGGUAGCCGGCCUGAGAGGGCGACCGGCCACACUGGGACUGAGACACGGCCCAGACUCCUACGGGAGGCAGCAGUGGGGAAUAUUGCACAAUGGGCGAAAGCCUGAUGCAGCGACGCCGCGUGAGGGAUGACGGCCUUCGGGUUGUAAACCUCUUUCAGCAGGGAAGAAGCGAAAGUGACGGUACCUGCAGAAGAAGCACCGGCUAACGACGUG
RNAcentral lists this ribosomal RNA (468 nucleotides) under uncultured bacterium. Its description in RNAcentral is "partial 16S ribosomal RNA". It matches the Rfam family "Bacterial small subunit ribosomal RNA", at positions 28 to 507 of the family's 1533-position model. The record is from RNAcentral.